Callithrix jacchus (white-tufted-ear marmoset) is the source of this 254-nucleotide unclassified non-coding RNA. It matches the Rfam family "Metazoan signal recognition particle RNA". From Rfam's summary of the family: The signal recognition particle (SRP) is a universally conserved ribonucleoprotein. It is involved in the co-translational targeting of proteins to membranes. The record is from Ensembl. NCBI's taxonomy places the organism in Eukaryota, Metazoa, Chordata, Mammalia, Primates, Cebidae.
UCCCAAAGUGCUGGGAUUACAGGCUUGAGCCACCGUGCCUGGCCGGGGUGUAGUGUCUUAUGCUGAUCUGAUGACCACACUAACUUCAGCAUCAAUAUGGUGACCUCCCAGGAGCGGGGGGUUGCCUAAGGAGGGGUGAACUGGCCCAGGUCAGAAACGGAGCAGGUCAAAACUCCAGGGCUGAUCACUAGUGGGAUCAAGCCUGUAAAUAGCCACUGCACUCCAGCCUGGGCAACAUAGUGAGACCCUGUUUC